RNAcentral lists this ribosomal RNA (408 nucleotides) under uncultured bacterium. RNAcentral describes it as "partial 16S ribosomal RNA". It matches the Rfam family "Bacterial small subunit ribosomal RNA", at positions 28 to 526 of the family's 1533-position model. The record is from RNAcentral.
GACGAACGCUGGCGGCGUGCUUAACACAUGCAAGUCGAACGAAGUGGAGAACGGGGGAGUAACGCGUAAACAAACUGCUCUUCAGAGGGGGAUAACAGUUUGAAACGACUGCUAAUACCGCAAACUGAAGGAGGGGCUUGCGUUGGAUUAGCUAGUUGGGGGGGUAACGGCCCACGAAGGCGAUGAUCAGUAGUCGGUUUGGGAUGAUGGAUUGGCAAAAUGGGACUGAGAAACCGCCCAGAAGCCUACGGGGGGCAGAAGUGGGGAAGUGUCCGCAAUGGAAGAAAGUCUGACGGAGCAAAGGCGCGUGAAUGAUGACGGCUUUCGGGUUGUAAAGCUAUUGUAAUUGGGACGCGGUACCGAAAUAGAAAGCCACGGCUAACUACGUGCCAGCCGCCGCGGUAAUAC